Molecule: small RNA, 31 nt
Filed under: Bombyx mori (domestic silkworm)
Lineage: Eukaryota; Metazoa; Arthropoda; Insecta; Lepidoptera; Bombycidae
Description: ovarian small RNA-25942
Source: RNAcentral
UCAUAGGUCCUCUCCGGCCUCACAGCUGAUG